UACGUAGGGGGCAAGCGUUGUCCGGAAUCAUUGGGCGUAAAGAGCGCGUAGGCGGUCCGGUAAGUCCGCUCUGAAAGCCCGGGGCUCAACCCCGGGAGGCGGGCGGAUACUGUCGGGCUAGAGUCCGGAAGAGGCGAGUGGAAUUCCUGGUGUAGCGGUGAAAUGCGCAGAUAUCAGGAGGAACACCGAUGGCGAAGGCAGCUCGCUGGGACGGUACUGACGCUGAGGCGCGAAGGCGUGGGGAGCAAACAGG
This 253-nucleotide ribosomal RNA is filed under the name uncultured bacterium. RNAcentral describes it as "partial 16S ribosomal RNA". It matches the Rfam family "Bacterial small subunit ribosomal RNA", at positions 524 to 776 of the family's 1533-position model. The record is from RNAcentral.